This is a long non-coding RNA of Lathyrus oleraceus (garden pea), 2290 nucleotides long. RefSeq lists it as uncharacterized. The record is from RefSeq and is a predicted model, not a curated record. The transcript has 14 exons. NCBI's taxonomy places the organism in Eukaryota, Viridiplantae, Streptophyta, Magnoliopsida, Fabales, Fabaceae.
AUCACAUUUUUUAAAAGUUUUUCGUUUCCUUUCAUUUUCACUCAUCCCCACUCUCGUUCCCGUUCGUUCUGAUUCGCCUCCAACGUUCCAUUCUCGACCUAUCUUCGCUGUUCCAUUCUCGAUUCGCCUCCGUCAUCACGUUCUCGAUUCGCCUCCUUGGUUCCAUUUCGAUCCUCCUCCGUCGCUCCCGUUCUCAAUCAUCCAUCAUCGUUCUCGGUCCUCCAUCGCCGUUCUUGGUCCUAAAGAACCAUUGAAUAGCAAGUUAGGGUUUAUUGUUUAUGUAUGUUAUGUUUCUUAUUUCUCAUUUGAAUUUGACUUCUAAACGCUGAGCUAGGGUUUAGAGCUUUUGUAUGUUUUGAAUACGAUUUUUCUUUUGAAUUUACCUUCAGUAAUAGUGAGUUAGGAUUUAUUGUUCUUGUGAUCCUUGGGUUAAUGUGUUAGUAUGCUGGAAAUUGAGAUAUUUGUGGCAUUGGGCACAUAUAAACUUUUUAUUCAUUGAGUUGAGCUUUGAGAGUUUUAGCAUAGUAGAUAUUAGUUUACAAAGCUAAUAUGAGGAUAGACUUUUAGCAUGUUUGGUUUUGCGGUGGAAAGCUCGUAGAGGUGCGUAUGUCCAGAAGCUAAGAAUUCUAGCUUCUUAAAAUCAUGUGGAAAUCACAUUGGAACACGCAUUGAAGGGUUGUCAUGGUUUUUUGAUUAUGAUGGUGAAGUAUAGUAUUAAUCAUGUGCUUAGCAGUUUUCUGCGCAUGUAUCAGCUCGCCGAAGGUGGUACAGCUGUAGGAACUGGAUUGAAUACUGUUCUUGGCGUCUAUCAUCACAUGCAGAAAAACAUUGGCUUGUAAUGUGCUCAUAUUCUCCUUUUGCAGGCUGCCCGUGAUGCUUUUGUUGAAACUAGUAGAGUCCUCAACACAAUUGCAGCUUCUUUAAUGAAGAUUGCUAAUGAUACUUUUUAUAUGAAGGCAUUGAGAGACGGUUGGGAGAGCCAAUUUCAGUGGGUGUGGACGAUCAACAGACUUUGAUGCUGCAGCCAGUGCAGAAAAAUCUCUUGAGACAUGCUCACUUGUGGAGCAUAUAUUACAUUUGGAACCAACCGAGGGGGAAGAUAUUAGUGUAUGUGUUUGUUUAGCAAGUUUGAUGUCAUUAUUUGAUGAAAAAGGAGACAAAGCAGGAUCCACCACCUACAUUGCGUUGAAAAAUUGUCAUUUGAAGGAUUUGCGAAUUUUGUAAAGGAGAUGUUGUUGCUAUUACCAAUGCAUUAGAACGAUAUCAGGAAUUGGAUCCAAGUUUUCAGGAAGGCGUGAAUAUAGACUUUUGGCAGAUGUUGCUGCUGCAAUUGAUGAAGAAGACGUUGGAAAGUUCAAUGAAGUUGUGAAGGAGUUUGAUGGCAUGAUUCCUUUUGAUUCUUUGAAAACAAAACUUAAUCUGAGGGAACUUGAGGAGGAUGAUCUGACUUGAAUUGUAUCUUAGUUUUGUGAUGGUUGUGCUUCAGGUUUGAUUGUCUAAAUGGGAACUCUAAAAGCAUUCGGGUUUGUUCAUGUAGAUGCCUACUACAAUUGAGGAGUUGGAAGCAGCAAUCUUAUUUGUCAAUCGUAACAUAUUGGAACAAUAUGAGGAUUGUCAAAGACAAGUACUCUUCAUUGUUGUAAUUUUUGUUGGGUUAUUUCAGAUGCCAUCUAUAUUUACCGUGACUUUACAGAUAGAAGAUCUUGCAAAAAAAACUCAAUGCAAACAAGAAGGAAUCUAGAAAGUGUCUAGCUGAAUUGGAUGAUAUUAAGGGAAAAUGGCUUCCAACACUCAGAUAAAUGAAACUUUUGGUGGAAAUUUUUAACAGAUAGGUGUUGCCGGAGGGGUUUCACUAGAUGAGCAUGAUAUGGACUUUUGAUCAAUUUGGAAUUUAUAUAACAGAGAAAAUGAACUGCUUGAAGUUUUAAGUGCUCAUCACAAGUCUGGAGGGGACUUUCAACCAUUGUUUAUCUUGUUUCCAGAUCUUACGAACUCUCCAUUUAGAGUUGUUGAUGAGAUCAACCAAGGAAGAUGUUUGAGCAAUUAGUGAGGAGCGUCAAGCAAGCCAAAUACACCAUAGUGAGUACCAACUAAUGUGCUCAGUUCCCCCAUAACUGAGAGUGACCAUUAAUCUUAUGUAGGUGUUUCUUACUUACCCCAAAGUUGUUACCAGAUCUGCAAUAUAGCCGAGGCAUGCCAUAUAUUGAAUGUAAUGAAUGGUCCUUGUAUUGAGCAACCUUUAAAGGAUAAUCUAUCAUACCAACAAAAACUAUAUUUAUCCUCUCUUUAA